RNAcentral lists this ribosomal RNA (223 nucleotides) under uncultured Piloderma. RNAcentral's name for it is "partial 28S ribosomal RNA". It matches the Rfam family "Eukaryotic large subunit ribosomal RNA", at positions 1 to 222 of the family's 3401-position model. Lineage: Eukaryota; Fungi; Basidiomycota; Agaricomycetes; Atheliales; Atheliaceae. The record is from RNAcentral.
UUGACCUCAAAUCAGGUAGGACUACCCGCUGAACUUAAGCAUAUCAAUAAGCGGAGGAAAAGAAACUAACAAGGAUUCCCCUAGUAACUGCGAGUGAAGCGGGAAAGCUCAAAUUUAAAUCUGGCGGUCUUGCGGCCGUCCGAGUUGUAAUCUGGAGAAGCGUUUAUCCGCGUCGGACCGUGUACAAGUCUCUGGAAGGGAGCUCGUAGAGGGUGAGAAUCCC